UUUAAUCCCUAUUUUUGCAUGGAACAAUUAUUUUGAAUUUAUGGUCCAUCGGGAUGCCCUAACUUUUACCUAAGUUAACUCAUUUUUAGUUUUUGACUUAGCGAACUCUUUUUGAAACAUGAUGCCCUAACUUUUGCCUAAGUCAAAUUUUUAGUUUUUUUUUUCUUUUUGACUUAGCAGGCUUUUUUUUAGACAACUCUUGUGAUUUUUGCUUUUGAUUUAGAAAGUUAUGACUGUCAUGUUAGCUAUCGUGAGCUUUAUACUUUCUCAGCUUCCUCGAUGUUAGAUGAUGUAUGCGGGGAAUAAGAUGUGCUUGAACCUAUUAUCCUUGCGAUUAGAUGGGAUAAUUUUCUUGAGAUCAUAAUGCAUCAUUGACUUAAUUGAAAACUACCAUACCCUUGGUAAAGAUUAAGGAUUUUUUUAAAUAGAAAGAAC
Molecule: long non-coding RNA, 435 nt
Filed under: Lathyrus oleraceus (garden pea)
Lineage: Eukaryota; Viridiplantae; Streptophyta; Magnoliopsida; Fabales; Fabaceae
Description: Pisum sativum (pea) long non-coding RNA (PSAT_LNC021341)
Source: RNAcentral